CCCUGUGUUAUGUAAUUAGCAUAAUCUGAAUAGACUGUUGAGUGAUUUAUAUCUUUUAUUUUUAAUUACAUAGUAAAACACCUAAAAAGAGCAAUCUGUGUGUAAAACUACUGGCAUAAAUUUUCAUGAGUGCUAUAAAAUGAUUAUGAUAGCAUAUAUUUGAAGAAAAGCGCUGCAUGCUUUGACAACUUGCUGUUUCAAUUUCAGUGUCUCUCCAGUAGUGGACAGCAAUGAUGUAUUGAUAACAAGAGCCCAGAUGAUCCACAGCAACGACAGAAAGGAGGAGAUAGACAGUAAGACAACCAAAAUAAAGAGCAAGUGCAUUCUGAUUAGCUGAUCUUCUCCUCAUCAUCCUAAAGAAGAGAAAUAUCAUUUGCAAGCAGGCAGUGUUUCACUAGCUGGGCUUCCAUCACCAUGCUUUUAUGCACAUUUUAAAGUAUUGCAUCAGAAUCGAGAGAUGGAAAUGCUGAAUUAUGAAUAAAAAUGCCUUAUUUUGCAAAAAAAAAUUUCCGCUUGCUUGAGGUGGUUUUCGACUUGUGCGAAAACUGCAUUCAUUGUGUUUCAUCUGCUCGUUCUGAGGUGCAAGUAAUUUAUUAUAUAUGAAAAUUAUUAUAUUCAGUAGCUUCUUCUACUUUUCUUAGUAAUGUAUAGUGCCAGUUUAUCAGGAAGUGACAAUUUUGUUCUCUUUGAUUCGUUGGAUGGAAACGCUGCUUGUUCGCAAAUGUUUUGUGUGAUAUUCCAAUUUUGCGCAUAAGUUAAAUUCGCACCUUUGGAUGUAAACCCAGCUAGUGUCUGAGCUCUAGUGUUUACUGCAAACACAAUACAAGAGAGACAUUAUACUCAGGAAAUCACACUUACCUCAUUCCUGUGACUGAAAUGUUUGGCUAGUUAGGCAGCAGGAAAUAUCACAAUGAUACCUCAGAUGUUCACUGGACCUUUCGUCCUUUUUGACACUGUUACUUUUUUAAUUAAUAUGUGGAUAUGGUCACAAACUGUUAAACUGUCACUGUAGAGGAUUGCGCCUGUAUUCUGUAUUCUUUUAUCUGUAUGAAAUAAAACAUGCAUAUUCAUCUGCUAUCCAACAUGCAUUCAUUUGGAAAAUGAAACAAUGUUUUAGUUUUUCCUAAAUGUUCAAUCAUUGUAAAAAUGUUCAUUGAUAAUCAUGAUCUAUGAUGGUCCUGGUGACUAGAGCCCUCAUCGGCUGAGGAUCCCUGAGGAUUCUUCUGUUGUGGCAAAAAUUAAAUCAAUUCUCAUUAGCAUAAGAGACAGGCUCACUCUCAAAUUUAUAAUUAAAAAAGAAGCUUUUAUUCUUUGCAAAGAAGGUCAGACAGUCAUACAGAAACACAAGUCGCUGCAGAGUGUGACAAAGGAAGGGAGGGCAGUCCUCUGCUUUAUAUCUCUUUUACCCCCGUCAAGGUUACAAACUCUUAGCAGCUGUACUUUUCCAUAGAAAACAAAGAAUUCAUAAACACACUCUUCUAAAGGUUGGUUCCCCCCAUUUAGGGCUUGGAUGACCCCCCCAGGUCAUCCUCAGGCAUAUGUUUCCCCCAUUUCUGUGGCCCAAAUGGCCUCUCAGGCCAUUCUGACAUCUGUUCUCCCCCCAGGUGUCUCCCUUUUGCACCCACACGGCUCCGUGAAUCACCUGUUGCCCAUUACUCUCAGGCCCUAAACC
Molecule: long non-coding RNA, 1672 nt
Organism: Cyprinus carpio carpio
Lineage: Eukaryota; Metazoa; Chordata; Actinopteri; Cypriniformes; Cyprinidae
Source: Ensembl